UACGUAGGGUGCGAGCGUUAAUCGGAAUUACUGGGCGUAAAGUGUGCGCAGGCGGUUUCGCAAGUCAAGUGUGAAAGCCCCGGGCUUAACCUGGGAACUGCGCUUGAAACUACGGAACUCGAGUAUGGCAGAGGAAGGUGGAAUUCCCGGUGUAGCAGUGAAAUGCGUAGAGAUCGGGAGGAACAUCAGUUGCGAAGGCGGCUCUCUGGACCAGCACUGACACUGAGGCACGAAAGCGUGGGGAGCAAACAGG
This 253-nucleotide ribosomal RNA is filed under the name uncultured bacterium. RNAcentral describes it as "partial 16S ribosomal RNA". It matches the Rfam family "Bacterial small subunit ribosomal RNA", at positions 524 to 776 of the family's 1533-position model. The record is from RNAcentral.